This is a non-coding RNA of Nipponia nippon (crested ibis), 70 nucleotides long. The record is from the annotation of a RefSeq genome assembly. NCBI's taxonomy places the organism in Eukaryota, Metazoa, Chordata, Aves, Pelecaniformes, Threskiornithidae.
GUCCUUGUAGCUUACAACCAAAGCAUGGCACUGAAGAUGCUAAGACGCUGCAUUCUCGCACCCAAGGACA